Molecule: RNA transcript, 2354 nt
Organism: Lutra lutra (Eurasian river otter)
Lineage: Eukaryota; Metazoa; Chordata; Mammalia; Carnivora; Mustelidae
Gene name: acyl-coenzyme A amino acid N-acyltransferase 2-like
Exons: 2
Source: RefSeq, a predicted model, not a curated record
GCCCGAGGGAGCCGGUGAGCCUGCGGGCGUCGGCCGUCAGCUACCGAGGCCGCCUCUUCCAUUCGCUGGCGCCCUACGAGGCGGACGGCCGCGGGGGCUUGGCCCUGGCCGGGGCCCCGGCUGUGGGCGGCGACUUCACGGGCGUGGAGCCCAUGGGGCUCCUGUGGAGCCUGACGGCGGUCGGCUCCGAGGAUCCCUGCUUCAACCAGGUGCCGAGGGGCGUGAUGAAAAGCCCGCUCAAAGUGGAGGUGACCGUCCACCGCGCGCCGCGGCAGCCGGCGGUGUCGCUGGGCCCGGCGCUGGCCUCCGCUCAGGUGCAGCGCUGGUUCUCCAGGCCCGAGCUGCGCGGUGCUCGGCUGCAGGCCGGCCGCCUGCGGGGCGUCUUCUUGCUGCCCCCAGCUGCGUGAGGUCUUUUGGGCAGAGGGCUUCGCAUGGAUUUGGGAAAUCGAUUUAGGAAAGCUGGAUUGCUUUGCUGGCUAGUUUAUCUCCAGAAAACCAAAACGAGCGCCUUAAUUCCUUUAUUUUGUCCCCCAGACACCAGGUGGGACAGUCACUCUCCUAAAUGGUGACUGGGAUUUAAAUUUAAUCUGCUCGGGAGCCUCUCUUCUGCCAGCUGCCGCCCCCUUUAGGCUCCUAGUGCUGCCCGCGCUAUUCCUUGCGAGCAUCUUUGCUAUAGUAAGCACAACGCUGCGGUACAGUUUCUAGCCUUAAGUAUUUUGUCUACCUCUGUAGUAGGCGGAGCUUUGUGUUCAUUUGACUUUUCCAGUUAUUCCUUGUAAAAAUGACGAGAAUAGUGGAUCCAGAUCUUUCACCUGUAUCGGUUCAAGCUCCAACGUAACCGAAGUCCUAUUACAUACAUUGUUCCCCUUUUUAAUAUACUGGUUUUACGUUAGGAUACAGAUGACACCUUUUUUUUUUUUUUAAAGAUUUUAUUUAUUUGUUUGACAAACAGAGAUCACAAGUAGGCAGAGAGGCAGGCUUCCCGCGGAGCAGGAAGCCCGAUGUGGGGGCUCCAUCCCAGGACCCUGAGAUCAUGACCCCAGCUGAAGGCAGAGGCUUUAACCCACUGAGCCACACGGGCGCCCCCAGAUGACCUUUUGGUUGUUAUUUUCAAACAUACUCUGAUUGCUUGGAGACCUUCAUCAUGAUGAAGAAACUGUUCUGUUGCUCAUCUCAUAGAUCAAAGAACAAUUUAUUUUACAGAUGAGAAACGGAGGCUUAAAGUGUCUUAACCAAAUCCCACAGCUAGAUGGUGCAAAAUCAGAACGUAGUCAAAAUCUUUGAGAGCCACACUCACGACGCAAACAGGGGCUGACUGAAUGAGCGAAACAGGUUUUUGUUUUUAAAAAACUAGUCUGGCUUAUUUUCUACUCUCACUCUGGGGAUCCUUAGGAACAACUGAGAAUCUCUUAAAUGAGAGAUUUAAAACAUUUUCAUCGUUGAGGAAUAGAAUAACCAGAGAAGAGAGAAGCAAAAUGAACACCAUAUUAGUCUUCUCAGGCUGCCAUAGUAGAAUACCACAGACCGGGUGGCUUAAACAACAGAAAUUUAUUUCCUCACAGUACAGGAGGCUGAAAUUCCAAAAUCAAGAUGCCAACAGUGUUAGUUUUGGGUGAGGCUUCUCUUGGUGACUUGCAGGUGACCAUCUUCUUACUGUGUCCUUGGAUGGCCUUUCCUCUGUGACCACCACUCCCAGCAUGUUUAUUCCUCUUCUAAGGACACUAGUUAUAUUGGAUUAGGGCCCCACUCUUAUGGCCUCAUUUAACUGAAAUUACCUCCGUAACAGCCCUCUUUCCAAGUACAGUCACAGUGGACUUAGAGCUUCAAGAUAUGAAUUUGAGUGGGGAGGACACAAUUCAAUCUGCAGCAAACAUUAGACUCUCAUAAUAUUCUUUUAGAUAUAGGUUAUGUAUAAAUGUGUGCACGGUAUAUAAUUUUUUUAGAUUUAUUAGAGAGAGAGAGUGUGUGUGCUCAAGUGGGAGCAGGGGCAGAGGGAGAAGGAGAGGGAAAAAAUCCUAAGCAGGCUCCAUGCCCAGGAUGAGAUCCACCCCCCCAGAUCAUGACAUCAUGACUGGAGUCAGAAUCGAGAGGCAGAGGCUUAACGGACUGAGCCAUCCAGGCAUCCCCGCGGUAUAUCCUUUUCAAGAAGAUUAUACCAACUAUUUUGUUUGGUAACUUGCAUUUUAAAUUAGGACAUCACGACUGCAUGUGAAUAGAUGUAUUGCAACAACUUUUUUUAAAAAAGGAUUUUAUUCAUUUACUUGACAGAGAGAGAGAGAGAGCACGCAAGUGAGCAGAGAGGCAGGCAGAGGCAGAAGGAGAAGCAGGCUGCACCGUGAGCAAGGAGCCCAAUG